AAAAUAAUGAGGGGUGUCACGGGGUAUGACUAUAUAGGUCUUGUAGAGGAGAAACAGGCGCUUCUUUUGCGCUAGGUAUCGAAGGGCGCUAUGUUCAAAAAUCUGAAACUAGAGCUCAAAAUUUGAAAAAAAAUGUCAAAAAAAUUAGGGGGUAGGGUCGGCCUAUUCCAGGAGUUCUAGAGAAAAAUAAUGAGGGGUGUCACGGGGUAUGACUAUAUAGGUCUUGUAGAGGAGAAACAGGCGCUUCUUUUGCGCUAGGUAUCGAAGGGCGCUAUGUUCAAAAAUCUGAAACUAGAGCUCAAAAUUUGAAAAAAAUGUCAAAAAAUUAGGGGGGUCGGCCUAUUCUAGGGCUUCUAGAGAAAAAUAAUGAGGGGUGUCACGGGGAAUGACUAUAUAGGUCUUGUAGAGGAGAAACAGGCGCUUCUUUUGCGCUAGGUAUCGAAGGGCGCUAUGUUCAAAAAUCUGAAACUAGAGCUCAAAAUUUGAAAAAAAUGUCAAAAAAUUAGGGGGGUCGGCCUAUUCUAGGACUUCUAGAGAAAAAUAAUGAGGGGUGUCACGGGGAAUGACUAUAUAGGUCUUGUAGAGGAGAAACAGGCGCUUCUUUUGCGCUAGGUAUCGAAGGGCGCUAUGUUCAAAAAUCUGAAACUAGAGCUCAAAAUUUGAAAAAAAUGUCAAAAAAUUAGGGGGGUCGGCCUAUUCUAGGACUUCUAGAGAAAAAAAAUGAGGGGUGUCACGGGGUAUGACUAUAUAGGUCUUGUAGAGGAGAAACAGGCGCUUCUUUUGCGCUAGGUAUCGAAGGGCGCUAUGUUCAAAAAUCUGAAACUAGAGCUCAAAAUUUGAAAAAAAAUGUCAAA
Molecule: long non-coding RNA, 854 nt
Filed under: Mytilus galloprovincialis (Mediterranean mussel)
Lineage: Eukaryota; Metazoa; Mollusca; Bivalvia; Mytilida; Mytilidae
Source: RNAcentral